UGCCCAAUGCUAAUCACUCAUGCUCUGA
This 28-nucleotide non-coding RNA is filed under the name Homo sapiens (human). The record is from RNAcentral. Lineage: Eukaryota; Metazoa; Chordata; Mammalia; Primates; Hominidae.